This is a non-coding RNA of Acanthosepion pharaonis, 108 nucleotides long. The record is from the annotation of a GenBank genome assembly. NCBI's taxonomy places the organism in Eukaryota, Metazoa, Mollusca, Cephalopoda, Sepiida, Sepiidae.
UACAGCCAUAUCAUGUUGAAACACCAAUUCUUGUACAAUCACCGAUGUUAAGCAACAUCAAGCCUGGUCAGUACCUAGAUGGGUGAUCACUUGAGAAUACCAGGUGCU